RNAcentral lists this ribosomal RNA (1410 nucleotides) under Dolichospermum circinale. RNAcentral describes it as "16S ribosomal RNA". It matches the Rfam family "Bacterial small subunit ribosomal RNA". The record is from RNAcentral. Lineage: Bacteria; Bacillati; Cyanobacteriota; Cyanophyceae; Nostocales; Aphanizomenonaceae.
GAUGAACGCUGGCGGUAUGCUUAACACAUGCAAGUCGAACGGUCUUUUAGGAGACAGUGGCGGACGGGUGAGUAACGCGUAAGAAUCUACCCUCAGGUCGGGGACAACCACUGGAAACGGUGGCUAAUACCGGAUGUGCCGAGAGGUGAAAGGCUUGCUGCCUGGGGAAGAGCUUGCGUCUGAUUAGCUAGUUGGUAGUGUAAGGGACUACCAAGGCGACGAUCAGUAGCUGGUCUGAGAGGAUGAUCAGCCACACUGGGACUGAGACACGGCCCAGACUCCUACGGGAGGCAGCAGUGGGGAAUUUUCCGCAAUGGGCGAAAGCCUGACGGAGCAAUACCGCGUGAGGGAGGAAGGCUCUUGGGUUGUAAACCUCUUUUCUCAGGGAAGAACAGAAUGACGGUACCUGAGGAAUAAGCAUCGGCUAACUCCGUGCCAGCAGCCGCGGUAAUACGGAGGAUGCAAGCGUUAUCCGGAAUGAUUGGGCGUAAAGAGUCCGUAGGUGGCAUUGAAAGUCUGCUGUUAAAGAGUCUAGCUCAACUAGAUAAAAGCAGUGGAAACUACAAAGCUAGAGUUUGGUCGGGGCAGAAGGAAUUCCUGGUGUAGCGGUGAAAUGCGUAGAUAUCAGGAAGAACACCGGUGGCGAAGGCGUUCUGCUAGGCCGAGACUGACACUGAGGGACGAAAGCUAGGGGAGCGAAUGGGAUUAGAUACCCCAGUAGUCCUAGCCGUAAACGAUGGAUACUAGGCGUAGCUCGUAUCGACCCGAGCUGUGCCGGAGCUAACGCGUUAAGUAUCCCGCCUGGGGAGUACGCAGGCAACUGUGAAACUCAAAGGAAUUGACGGGGGCCCGCACAAGCGGUGGAGUAUGUGGUUUAAUUCGAUGCAACGCGAAGAACCUUACCAAGGCUUGACAUGUCACGAAUCCUGUAGAAAUAUAGGAGUGCCUUAGGGAGCGUGAACACAGGUGGUGCAUGGCUGUCGUCAGCUCGUGUCGUGAGAUGUUGGGUUAAGUCCCGCAACGAGCGCAACCCUCGUUUUUAGUUGCCAGCAUUAAGAUGGGCACUCUAGAGAGACUGCCGGUGACAAACCGGAGGAAGGUGGGGAUGACGUCAAGUCAGCAUGCCCCUUACGUCUUGGGCUACACACGUACUACAAUGCUACGGACAAAGGGCAGCUACACAGCGAUGUGAUGCGAAUCUCAUAAACCGUAGCUCAGUUCAGAUCGAAGGCUGCAACUCGCCUUCGUGAAGGAGGAAUCGCUAGUAAUUGCAGGUCAGCAUACUGCAGUGAAUUCGUUCCCGGGCCUUGUACACACCGCCCGUCACACCAUGGAAGUUGGUCACGCCCGAAGUCGUUACCCCAACCUAUUGGAGGGGGAUGCCUAAGGUAGGACUGAUGACUGGGGUGA